GUGCCAGCCGCCGCGGUAAUACGUAGGGUGCAAGCGUUAAUCGGAAUUACUGGGCGUAAAGCGUGCGCAGGCGGUGAUGUAAGACAGAUGUGAAAUCCCCAGGCUCAACCUGGGAACUGCAUUUGUGACUGCAUCGCUGGAGUGCGGCAGAGGGGGAUGGAAUUCCGCGUGUAGCAGUGAAAUGCGUAGAUAUGCGGAGGAACACCGAUGGCGAAGGCAAUCCCCUGGGCCUGCACUGACGCUCAUGCACGAAAGCGUGGGGA
RNAcentral lists this ribosomal RNA (263 nucleotides) under uncultured Burkholderiales bacterium. Its description in RNAcentral is "partial 16S ribosomal RNA". It matches the Rfam family "Bacterial small subunit ribosomal RNA", at positions 505 to 767 of the family's 1533-position model. Lineage: Bacteria; Pseudomonadati; Pseudomonadota; Betaproteobacteria; Burkholderiales. The record is from RNAcentral.